This 253-nucleotide ribosomal RNA is filed under the name uncultured bacterium. RNAcentral describes it as "partial 16S ribosomal RNA". It matches the Rfam family "Bacterial small subunit ribosomal RNA", at positions 524 to 776 of the family's 1533-position model. The record is from RNAcentral.
GACAGAGGGUGCAAGCGUUGUUCGGAAUCAUUGGGCGUAAAGCGCACGUAGGCGGUUUUGUAAGUCGGAUGUGAAAGCCCAGGGCUCAACCCUGGAAGUGCAUCUGAUACUGCAUGACUUGAGUCUCGGAGAGGGUGGUGGAAUUCCUGGUGUAGAGGUGAAAUUCGUAGAUAUCAGGAGGAACACCGGUGGCGAAGGCGACCACCUGGACGAAGACUGACGCUGAGGUGCGAAAGCGUGGGGAGCAAACAGG